AAGCUAUCUUCGGAUAGUGGAGACCGGCAGACGGGUGAGUAACACGUGGGAACAUACCGAGUAGUGGGGGAUAACAGUUGGAAACGACUGCUAAUACCGCAUACGCCCUUCGGGGGAAAGAUUUAUCGCUAUUCGAUUGGCCCGCGUUAGAUUAGCUAGUUGGUAAGGUAACGGCUUACCAAGGCGACGAUCUAUAGCUGGUUUGAGAGGAUGAUCAGCCACACUGGGACUGAGACACGGCCCAGACUCCUACGGGAGGCAGCAGUGGGGAAUAUUGCGCAAUGGAGGAAACUCUGACGCAGCCAUGCCGCGUGAGUGAAGAAGGCCUUAGGGUUGUAAAGCUCUUUCAGACGUGAUGAUGAUGACAGUAGCGUCAAAAGAAGUUCCGGCUAACUUCGUGCCAGCAGCCGCGGUAAUACGAAGGGAACUAGCGUUGUUCGGAUUUACUGGGCGUAAAGAGCAUGUAGGCGGAUUGGACAGUUGAGGGUGAAAUCCCAGAGCUCAACUCUGGAACGGCCUUCAAUACUUCCAGUCUAGAGUCCGUAAGGGGGUGGUGGAAUUCCGAGUGUAGAGGUGAAAUUCGUAGAUAUUCGGAGGAACACCAGUGG
Molecule: ribosomal RNA, 608 nt
Filed under: uncultured bacterium
Lineage: Bacteria
Description: bacterial SSU rRNA
Rfam family: Bacterial small subunit ribosomal RNA
Source: RNAcentral